RNAcentral lists this ribosomal RNA (468 nucleotides) under uncultured bacterium. RNAcentral describes it as "partial 16S ribosomal RNA". It matches the Rfam family "Bacterial small subunit ribosomal RNA", at positions 28 to 507 of the family's 1533-position model. The record is from RNAcentral.
GACGAACGCUGGCGGCGUGCUUAACACAUGCAAGUCGAACGGAAAGGCCCUGCUUUUGUGGGGUGCUCGAGUGGCGAACGGGUGAGUAACACGUGAGUAACCUGCCCUUGACUUUGGGAUAACUUCAGGAAACUGGGGCUAAUACCGGAUAGGAGCUCUUGCUGCAUGGUGGGGGUUGGAAAGUUUCGGCGGUAGGGGAUGGACUCGCGGGUUAUCCGCUUGUUUGUGGGGUAGUGGCUUACCAAGGCUUCGACGGGUAGCCGGCCUGGGAGGGUGAACGGCGACCUUGGGACUGAGAUACGGCCCAGAAGCCUACGGGAGGCAGCAGUGGGGAGUAUUGCAGAAUGGGCGGAAGCCUGAUGCAGCGACGCCGCGUGCGGGAUGACGGCCUACGGGUUGUAAACCGCUUUCGCAGGUGACGAAGCGUGAGUGACGGUAAUGGGUAAGAAAGCACCGGCUAACUACGUG